RNAcentral lists this ribosomal RNA (835 nucleotides) under uncultured bacterium. RNAcentral's name for it is "bacterial SSU rRNA". It matches the Rfam family "Bacterial small subunit ribosomal RNA", at positions 24 to 871 of the family's 1533-position model. The record is from RNAcentral.
CUCGGACGAACGCCGGCGGCGCGCCUAAACACGCAAGUCGAACGAGAGACGAGGAGCUUCGCUCUUCAAAUCGAGCGGCGAACGGGUGAGUAACGCGUGAGGAACCUGCCUCAAAGAGGGGGACAACAGUUGGAAACGACUGCUAAUACCGCAUAAGCCCACGGCUCGGCAUCGAGCAGAGGGAAAGGAGCAAUCCGCUUUGAGAUGGCCUCGCGUCCGAUUAGCUAGUUGGUGAGGUAACGGCCCACCAAGGCGACGAUCGGUAGCCGGACUGAGAGGUUGAACGGCCACAUUGGGACUGAGACACGGCCCAGUACUCCUACGGGAGGCAGCAGUGGGGAAUAUUGCACAAUGGGGGAAACCCUGAUGCAGCGACGCCGCGUGGAGGAAGAAGGUCUUCGGGAUUGUAAACUCCUGUUGUUGAGGAAGAUAAUGACGGUACUCAACAAGGAAGUGACGGCUAACUACGUGCCAGCAGCCGCGGUAAAACGUAGGUCACAAGCGUUGUCCGGAAUUACUGGGUGUAAAGGGAGCGCAGGCGGGAGAACAAGUUGGAAGUGAAAUCCAUGGGCUCAACCCAUGAACUGCUUUCAAAACUGUUUUUCUUGAGUAGUGCAGAGGUAGGCGGAAUUCCCGGUGUAGCGGUGGAAUGCGUAGAUAUCGGGAGGAACACCAGUGGCGAAGGCGGCCUACUGGGCACCAACUGACGCUGAGGCUCGAAAGUGUGGGUAGCAAACAGGAUUAGAUACCCUGGUAGUCCACACCGUAAACGAUGAUUACUAGGUGUUGGAGGAUUGACCCCUUCAGUGCCGCAGUUAACGCGAUAAGUAAUCCA